This 253-nucleotide ribosomal RNA is filed under the name uncultured bacterium. RNAcentral's name for it is "partial 16S ribosomal RNA". It matches the Rfam family "Bacterial small subunit ribosomal RNA", at positions 524 to 776 of the family's 1533-position model. The record is from RNAcentral.
UACGAAGGGUGCAAACGUUGCUCGGAAUCAUUGGGCGUAAAGCGCACGUAGGCGGCUUUGCAAGUCAGAGGUGAAAGCCCGGGGCUCAACCCCGGAAUUGCCUUUGAGACUGCAUCGCUAGAAUUGUGGAGAGGUAAGUGGAAUUCCGAGUGUAGAGGUGAAAUUCGUAGAUAUUCGGAAGAACACCAGUGGCGAAGGCGACUUACUGGACACAUAUUGACGCUGAGGUGCGAAAGCGUGGGGAGCAAACAGG